This 425-nucleotide ribosomal RNA is filed under the name uncultured bacterium. Its description in RNAcentral is "bacterial SSU rRNA". It matches the Rfam family "Bacterial small subunit ribosomal RNA", at positions 356 to 773 of the family's 1533-position model. The record is from RNAcentral.
CGGGAAUCUUCCACAAUGGACGAAAGUCUGAUGGAGCAACGCCGCGUGAGCGAUGAAGGCCUUCGGGUCGUAAAGCUCUGUUGUCAGGGAAGAACAAGUGCCGGAGUAACUGCCGGUACCUUGACGGUACCUGACCAGAAAGCCACGGCUAACUACGUGCCAGCAGCCGCGGUAAUACGUAGGUGGCAAGCGUUGUCCGGAAUUAUUGGGCGUAAAGCGCGCGCAGGCGGUCCUUUAAGUCUGAUGUGAAAGCCCACGGCUCAACCGUGGAGGGUCAUUGGAAACUGGGGGACUUGAGUGCAGAAGAGGAAAGCGGAAUUCCACGUGUAGCGGUGAAAUGCGUAGAGAUGUGGAGGAACACCAGUGGCGAAGGCGGCUUUCUGGUCUGUAACUGACGCUGAGGCGCGAAAGCGUGGGGAGCAAAC